UACGAAGGGGGCUAGCGUUGCUCGGAAUCACUGGGCGUAAAGCGCACGUAGGCGGAUUGUUAAGUCAGGGGUGAAAUCCUGGAGCUCAACUCCAGAACUGCCUUUGAUACUGGCGAUCUCGAGUCCGGGAGAGGUGAGUGGAACUGCGAGUGUAGAGGUGAAAUUCGUAGAUAUUCGCAAGAACACCAGUGGCGAAGGCGGCUCACUGGCCCGGUACUGACGCUGAGGUGCGAAAGCCAGGGGAGCGAACGGG
RNAcentral lists this ribosomal RNA (253 nucleotides) under uncultured bacterium. RNAcentral's name for it is "partial 16S ribosomal RNA". It matches the Rfam family "Bacterial small subunit ribosomal RNA", at positions 524 to 776 of the family's 1533-position model. The record is from RNAcentral.